AAUUAUAAUGUUAGUGUUAAUACAUGCUAGAGAUAUGAUAUGUAAAUCAUUUUCCUAAAGUCAUGCCACAAAAAAGAAAAGAAGGAAUAAUCAAGCACCAAGGCUAGGAUGGUGGUCCAUUACUUCAAUCCAUGAUUCAUGACACUUACGACAAACUUAUGCAUCACUCCAAAGUACCUUAAAUGAUCCUUUAUCAAUUGGGAGGUAAAUUUGAUAUAAUGAAAGUU
This 227-nucleotide long non-coding RNA is filed under the name Lathyrus oleraceus (garden pea). RNAcentral describes it as "Pisum sativum (pea) long non-coding RNA (PSAT_LNC005185)". Lineage: Eukaryota; Viridiplantae; Streptophyta; Magnoliopsida; Fabales; Fabaceae. The record is from RNAcentral.